This 472-nucleotide ribosomal RNA is filed under the name uncultured organism. RNAcentral's name for it is "partial 16S ribosomal RNA". It matches the Rfam family "Bacterial small subunit ribosomal RNA", at positions 334 to 797 of the family's 1533-position model. The record is from RNAcentral.
CACUCCUACGGGAGGCAGCAGUGGGGAAUAUUGCACAAUGGGCGCAAGCCUGAUGCAGCCAUGCCGCGUGUAUGAAGAAGGCCUUCGGGUUGUAUAGUACUUUCAGCGGGGAGGAAGGCGAUAAGGUUAAUAACCUUGUCGAUUGACGUUACCCGCAGAAGAAGCACCGGCUAACUCCGUGCCAGCAGCCGCGGUAAUACGGAGGGUGCAAGCGUUAAUCGGAAUUACUGGGCGUAAAGCGCACGCAGGCGGUCUGUCAAGUCGGAUGUGAAAUCCCCGGGCUCAACCUGGGAACUGCAUUCGAAACUGGCAGGCUAGAGUCUUGUAGAGGGGGGUAGAAUUCCAGGUGUAGCGGUGAAAUGCGUAGAGAUCUGGAGGAAUACCGGUGGCGAAGGCGGCCCCCUGGACAAAGACUGACGCUCAGGUGCGAAAGCGUGGGGAGCAAACAGGAUUAGAUACCCGUGUAGUCCCA